This 450-nucleotide ribosomal RNA is filed under the name uncultured bacterium. RNAcentral's name for it is "partial 16S ribosomal RNA". It matches the Rfam family "Bacterial small subunit ribosomal RNA", at positions 338 to 795 of the family's 1533-position model. The record is from RNAcentral.
CCUACGGGUGGCUGCAGUAAGGAAUAUUGGUCAAUGGACGAAAGUCUGAACCAGCCAUGCCGCGUGGAGGAUGAAGGUCCUCUGGAUUGUAAACUUCUUUUAUAUGGGACGAAAAAAGGCCUUUCUAGGCCGUCUGACGGUACCAUAUGAAUAAGCACCGGCUAACUCCGUGCCAGCAGCCGCGGUAAUACGGAGGGUGCAAGAGUUAUCCGGAUUCACUGGGUCGUAGGUGGGUUGAUAAGUCUGGAGUGAAAUCUCCGAGCCUAACGUUGAAACUGCCAUUGAUACUAUUAAUCUUGAAUAUUGUGGAGGUUAGCGGAAUAUGUCAUGUAGCGGUGAAAUGCUUAGAUAUGACAUAGAACACCAAUUGCGAAGGCAGCUGGCUACACAUAUAUUGACACUGAGGCACGAAAGCGUGGGGAUCAAACAGGAUUAGAUACCCUUGUAGUC